GAUGAACGCUGGCGGCGUGCCUAAUACAUGCAAGUCGAGCGAACGGACGAGAAGCUUGCUUCUCUGAUGUUAGCGGCGGACGGGUGAGUAACACGUGGAUAACCUACCUAUAAGACUGGGAUAACUUCGGGAAACCGGAGCUAAUACCGGAUAAUAUUUUGAACCGCAUGGUUCAAAAGUGAAAGACGGUCUUGCUGUCACUUAUAGAUGGAUCCGCGCUGCAUUAGCUAGUUGGUAAGGUAACGGCUUACCAAGGCAACGAUGCAUAGCCGACCUGAGAGGGUGAUCGGCCACACUGGAACUGAGACACGGUCCAGACUCCUACGGGAGGCAGCAGUAGGGAAUCUUCCGCAAUGGGCGAAAGCCUGACGGAGCAACGCCGCGUGAGUGAUGAAGGUCUUCGGAUCGUAAAACUCUGUUAUUAGGGAAGAACAUAUGUGUAAGUAACUGUGCACAUCUUGACGGUACCUAAUCAGAAAGCCACGGCUAACUACGUGCCAGCAGCCGCGGUAAUACGUAGGUGGCAAGCGUUAUCCGGAAUUAUUGGGCGUAAAGCGCGCGUAGGCGGUUUUUUAAGUCUGACGUGAAAGCCCACGGCUCAACCGUGGAGGGUCAUUGGAAACUGGAAAACUUGAGUGCAGAAGAGGAAAGUGGAAUUCCAUGUGUAGCGGUGAAAUGCGCAGAGAUAUGGAGGAACACCAGUGGCGAAGGCGACUUUCUGGUCUGUAACUGACGCUGAUGUGCGAAAGCGUGGGGAUCAAACAGGAUUAGAUACCCUGGUAGUCCACGCCGUAAACGAUGAGUGCUAAGUGUUAGGGGGUUUCCGCCCCUUAGUGCUGCAGCUAACGCAUUAAGCACUCCGCCUGGGGAGUACGACCGCAAGGUUGAAACUCAAAGGAAUUGACGGGGACCCGCACAAGCGGUGGAGCAUGUGGUUUAAUUCGAAGCAACGCGAAGAACCUUACCAAAUCUUGACAUCCUUUGACAACUCUAGAGAUAGAGCCUUCCCCUUCGGGGGACAAAGUGACAGGUGGUGCAUGGUUGUCGUCAGCUCGUGUCGUGAGAUGUUGGGUUAAGUCCCGCAACGAGCGCAACCCUUAAGCUUAGUUGCCAUCAUUAAGUUGGGCACUCUAAGUUGACUGCCGGUGACAAACCGGAGGAAGGUGGGGAUGACGUCAAAUCAUCAUGCCCCUUAUGAUUUGGGCUACACACGUGCUACAAUGGACAAUACAAAGGGCAGCGAAACCGCGAGGUCAAGCAAAUCCCAUAAAGUUGUUCUCAGUUCGGAUUGUAGUCUGCAACUCGACUACAUGAAGCUGGAAUCGCUAGUAAUCGUAGAUCAGCAUGCUACGGUGAAUACGUUCCCGGGUCU
RNAcentral lists this ribosomal RNA (1372 nucleotides) under uncultured bacterium. RNAcentral describes it as "bacterial SSU rRNA". It matches the Rfam family "Bacterial small subunit ribosomal RNA", at positions 28 to 1381 of the family's 1533-position model. The record is from RNAcentral.